Molecule: long non-coding RNA, 547 nt
Filed under: Centruroides sculpturatus (bark scorpion)
Lineage: Eukaryota; Metazoa; Arthropoda; Arachnida; Scorpiones; Buthidae
Description: uncharacterized LOC111631678, transcript variant X2
Source: RNAcentral
UAAGAACUUAAAAGAAUUUAGUAAUUUAGCAUUGACCCGAAGAAUAACUCCUUGAAAUUCGAAAUUUAUUUAUAGUUUACAAUGAUUUCUUCACAGUGUCGUGGAAAGCUUAUACGGGGCCCUUUUAGUCAUGUUUUUUAAAACAAAUUAAAUAGGGCUAUCAACUAUUAAACGGACCUCUAAGUUUUCAUGUGGACCUGAAAAAAAUCCCCAGUUUCUUCCUCUCGAAGUCCCCACUUAUUGAUAACGAUAUUCAAUAUAAGUUCAUUUUUUAAUAUUUCAUUUACAUAAAACGGCUUAAAAUAGUCAUUUUGAUGUUUCAAAUUAUUUAUAUAAAUUAAAUAAACAUAAUAAUGUUGUAAAUAUAACAAACGAUUCGUUGUUCCAUUUUAUAACAUGAAAAUGGUUGAAAUAAUUUAUAACAUUGCAUACAGAUGGCAGUAAGUGAAAUAUAUGUUUACUCGUGUACUAAAUACAAAUACAGUACUGCAUUUACUUUAAUUAUGUAAGUUACUUGUGUUUGCAACCGAGAAGUUUCGAUGUCAUA